Brienomyrus brachyistius is the source of this 972-nucleotide long non-coding RNA. RefSeq lists it as uncharacterized. The transcript is spliced from 2 exons. Lineage: Eukaryota; Metazoa; Chordata; Actinopteri; Osteoglossiformes; Mormyridae. The record is from RefSeq and is a predicted model, not a curated record.
AUGUCCUUGGCCUUGCGUCUGCUCUGAGGAAGACCACCGGGAUGAAGAGACGCCCUUGUUGAGGCUCGUGCUCCACAGAUCCCUACUCCUGGACGCUCUUGCCGGUCGUUCUCUGGUUUACCCCAAUUUGAAUCGACCAAUGAGAGUCAACCAAAGUGAACAAUGGGGGGUCAGCGAAUGACAGCGUGCCGCUCCGCCGUUCCCUGCUGCUUUUAAAGUCCCAUCUCUGCUGUCACCGAGUUGUGCUCACUUCUCAAACCCAUGCUGUGUAUAAGAAGGCAACCUCCCGGAAUACACCGAUACUGUAACCCAGAGCACAUGGAGAAGCCUCAACCGAAAACCCAGUCCAGCAGAUCUUUAACAUCUCGCCACCCUGCCGCUGAGGUUACGCAACGCUGCAUUCCAGACAGCGCGGAGGGAAUGACUGUCCAGCUGAAAUUAUUACCUUCCCAUCCGAGCUUCUCUGAAAGACCUUUGGUCACCAUCGCCACCUCCACCGUCAUCACACUGUCUCCCCUGCAAGCCAAUGCCUGAUCUGCUGAACUGAAAAUGGGAGUUUGAGGUGAAUUUUGUGGUUUUCAUUGUUUAAUACCGUAUAUCCCUCCACUCAGUGUACAGUCCUGUAUGGAUUUUUUUUGACACGUGUCGUGCCCUGAUCUCAAUGCGCUGAGUUUAUUUCCAGAACGUACACACACGUCACAUUCUACCCUCUUAUUGAGUUUCAUAAACUGUAAUCCCCCUCUCGCCACCUUAAUUGAUGUCCCAGGGGUCUUUCCAGUAAGCGUCCCAUCGGACUGGUGAGGGACGUGUAUCACCCAAUAGUGGAGUUACAUCACAGUCUGCACCUGUAUGAGUGUGUAACUUGAGUCCAAAACUGGGACUUCUCAGCUUCUUUCUGGAAUGUGAAAAAUAUGAUUGAUUGUUUGAUUUAAUUAAUUUAAUUUGAUUUAAUAAAAUUAUAUCCAACAUGGA